GCGAGCCGCUGCUCCGCGUAUGUGAGUGUGUUUGUGUGCGUCUGUGUGCCCCGGCAGCGCGCGAACUGCGCGGCAGGCGCAGCAAUCCGCGGCUGCGGGUACCGCGCUGUGCUGAGAGCGGGAGUGCGACCCGGAGGGGUGGAGGGCCUCGGAACACAACCUGAGUGCGUGUUGGUUACUAUUAAAAAAAAAAUAAAAGUCAUUUGUUUGUUGGAGUUAUAUUGUAGGUUUGGAAGGCACCCACCACUUCCAUCAGGGCCAGCCCCAUCGCUGUCGCACGCUGGGCUCCUACCCCGGAGCUGCAGCGCACAAUCUCAUGUUACACAGAACCUUGACAUGACGGAGCAACUUUAUUGGACAUCAGCAUCAUUCUGACGACAACACUGUCUUCAGCACAGGUCACCAGAGUCUGACAGGGUACAUGAAACCCAAACGCCCAUCCUACCAGAGGCCAAUAAAAACUUACCAGUUUCUCUUAUAA
This is a long non-coding RNA of Lagopus leucura (white-tailed ptarmigan), 481 nucleotides long. RefSeq lists it as uncharacterized. The record is from RefSeq and is a predicted model, not a curated record. The transcript is spliced from 2 exons. NCBI's taxonomy places the organism in Eukaryota, Metazoa, Chordata, Aves, Galliformes, Phasianidae.